This 760-nucleotide ribosomal RNA is filed under the name uncultured Methanocorpusculum sp. Its description in RNAcentral is "bacterial SSU rRNA". It matches the Rfam family "Archaeal small subunit ribosomal RNA", at positions 27 to 795 of the family's 1478-position model. Lineage: Archaea; Methanobacteriati; Methanobacteriota; Methanomicrobia; Methanomicrobiales; Methanocorpusculaceae. The record is from RNAcentral.
UUGCUAUCAGGGUUUGACUAAGCCAUGCGAGUCGAGAGGUGUAAGACCUCGGCAUACUGCUCAGUAACACGUGGUUAACCUGCCCUAAGGUGGAGAAUACUCCCGGGAAACUGGGGCUAAUGCUCCAUAGUGGAUAUGUCCUGGAAUGGUAUAUCCUCGAAAGAUCCGUCGCCUUAGGAUGGGACUGCGUCCGAUUAGGUUGUUGGCGGGGUAACGGCCCACCAAGCCUUUUAUCGGUACGGGUUGUGGGAGCAAGAUCCCGGAGAUGGAUUCUGAGACAUGAAUCCAGGCCCUACGGGGCGCAGCAGGCGCGCAAACUUUACAAUGCGAGCAAUCGUGAUAAGGAAACCCUGAGUGCCUGUCGAUGCAGGCUGUUCAUAUAUCUAAAUCAUAUGUGAAGAAAGGGCAGGGCAAGACCGGUGCCAGCCGCCGCGGUAAUACCGGCUGCUCGAGUGAUGGCCACUAUUACUGGGUUUAAAGCGUCCGUAGCUUGACUGUUAGGUCUCUUGGGAAAUCUUCGCGCUCAACGUGAAGGCGUCUAAGAGAUACCGGCAGUCUUGGAACUGGGAGAGGUAAACCGUACUUCGGGGGUAGGAGUGAAAUCUUGUAAUCCUCGAGGGACGACCUAUGGCGAAGGCAGUUUACCAGAACAGCUUCGACAGUGAGGGACGAAAGCUGGGGGAGCAAACGGGAUUAGAUACCCCGGUAGUCCCAGCCGUAAACAAUGUGCGUUAGGUGUGUCGGUAACCACGUGUUACUG